This 311-nucleotide ribosomal RNA is filed under the name uncultured fungus. RNAcentral's name for it is "SSU rRNA". It matches the Rfam family "Eukaryotic small subunit ribosomal RNA", at positions 39 to 352 of the family's 1831-position model. The record is from RNAcentral. Lineage: Eukaryota; Fungi.
AAAGAUUAAGCCAUGCAUGAUCUAAGUAUAAGCAACUAUACGGUGAAACUGCGAAUGGCUCAUUAAAUCAGUUAUCGUUUAUUUGAUAGUACCUUACUACAUGGAUAACCGUGGUAAUUCUAGAGCUAAUACAUGCUAAAAACCCCCACUUCGGAAGGGGUGUAUUUAUUAGAUAAAAAACCAAUGCCCUUCGGGGCUCCUUGGUGAAUCAUAAUAACUUAACGAAUCGCAUGGCCUUGCGCCGGCGAUGGUUCAUUCAAAUUUCUGCCCUAUCAACUUUCGAUGGUAGGAUAGUGGUCCUACCAUGGUAU